RNAcentral lists this ribosomal RNA (497 nucleotides) under uncultured bacterium. RNAcentral's name for it is "partial 16S ribosomal RNA". It matches the Rfam family "Bacterial small subunit ribosomal RNA", at positions 28 to 507 of the family's 1533-position model. The record is from RNAcentral.
GAUGAACGCUGGCGGCGUGCCUAAUACAUGCAAGUCGAGCGAACAGAUGAGGAGCUUGCUCCUCUGACGUUAGCGGCGGACGGGUGAGUAACACGUGGAUAACCUACCUAUAAGACUGGGAUAACUUCGGGAAACCGGAGCUAAUACCGGAUAAUAUAUUGAACCGCAUGGUUCAAUAGUGAAAGACGGUUUUGCUGUCACUUAUAGAUGGAUCCGCGCCGCAUUAGCUAGUUGGUAAGGUAACGGCUUACCAAGGCAACGAUGCGUAGCCGACCUGAGAGGGUGAUCAGCCACACUGGAACCGAGACACGGUCCAGACUCCUACGGGAGGCAGCAGUAGGGAAUCUUGCGCAAUGGGCGAAAGCCUGACGGAGCAACGCCGCGUGAGUGAUGAAGGUCUUCGGAUCGUAAAACUCUGUUAUUAGGGAAGAACAAAUGUGUAAGUAACUAUGCACGUCUUGACGGUACCUAAUCAGAAAGCCACGGCUAACUACGUG